AGUAACACUCUGGGAGGGCUCAGGCCACAUCACGAAAUGUGACAGGAUAGCCUUGAACUCAUCAAUUGCUGGCAAGGUAAGCUGUCAUCAGUUGGAGGUAAGCAGAAGACAGUAGAGAGUACAGAGCCCUGGACUGUGACUCAGAGGAUGAGCACCAGAUCCAGUUUGCUGUGCCACAGUGCUCAGCAUGAUGUAAACUCCACUGCGGACAGAUGCAGCCAAGAAGACAGGUCACCUUCUACCAACUCCCACCAGAGGAAACUCUUCCCCAGGACCCAGUACGUUGGCCCUCUGACCCUGCACACAGCACAUGAUGCUGAGGUUCAGUGCUGAACAAGAGCUACUGAGAGCCAGAGAUUCACUUCUUCCAUGGAGCCCCACUCAUGGAUGGAGGCUCUGUCCCGGGUCCAGUGCCACUGGGAACACUGGGUCUCUGGUUUCUAGCUCUGUCCUAUGGCAGAGGUUCCACCCCACAAUAACCGAAGUGCUGAGAAGGUGGGAAGCUCCUGCCCGACCCUCCACUGAGAGCUCAGCUCCUAGGCUGAGGAAUAAAACAGCUCAACUUUGUCUACACCUGCAGAACCUUGUUUAGGAGCUCUGUCCCAGGAGAGAGGGGGCAAUGGAAUUCAGUCAUAAAAUAUGAUCCUUAAUUAGUCCUAAAAAUCCUAACUUCAGUAACAGCAGAUUGUGGACAAAUUGAAAGCCUGCCAGUGCUCUCAAAAACAGUGGAUGGUGUGGUGGAAAGCCCUUGGAAGGAGACGGGUGGAUGCAUGGGAGAUGCAGGCUACACUGCAGGGCUGCUGGCUUGCAGGAGAGAACCGAGGACAAGGGAGAGCUGGGGAAAGUUCUCUUGUGGUUGAAAUAAAUGCCAGACACUCUUCAA
RNAcentral lists this long non-coding RNA (883 nucleotides) under Homo sapiens (human). RNAcentral's name for it is "HSALNT0379723". The record is from RNAcentral. Lineage: Eukaryota; Metazoa; Chordata; Mammalia; Primates; Hominidae.